This is a non-coding RNA of Pelobates cultripes (western spadefoot toad), 385 nucleotides long. The record is from the annotation of a GenBank genome assembly. Lineage: Eukaryota; Metazoa; Chordata; Amphibia; Anura; Pelobatidae.
CGGCAACAUUUUUGGAAACUUUCCUCAAUAGACGUCAGUAAGACUCAUCUCACAGAGUACCUAAGAUAGAUAGGUGAGUAAAGAACACAAAAUCCGUUAAAACUAGCCAAAGGCCUCAUAAAUUGGCUAGAAAAUGACUGUGCAAAUGUCAGACCCUAGCUGCCAUAAUUAAUAGCCAGCCUUUACAAUUUCAUGGUGCCAUAGAAACACCAAAACUACACAACACCCAGGAAUCGAACACCUGCCUACUCCCGGCCACACCAUACAUUUUACUUCUACAGACGUGAUAGAGAGCAGCAGAAACAAGUCAUGAUAUGCAGUUUAAAGGGACACUGUAGGCACCCAGACCACUUACGCUCAUUGUAGUGGUCUGGGUGCAAUGUCC